This 92-nucleotide transfer RNA is filed under the name Candidatus Dojkabacteria bacterium CG_4_10_14_0_2_um_filter_Dojkabacteria_WS6_41_15. RNAcentral's name for it is "tRNA-Ser". It matches the Rfam family "tRNA". Rfam says of the family: Transfer RNA (tRNA) molecules are approximately 80 nucleotides in length. The record is from RNAcentral.
GGAGAGGUGGCCGAGUGGCUGAAGGCGACGGUUUGCUAAACCGUUAUACUCUCUUUUGGGUAUCAAGGGUUCGAAUCCCUUCCUCUCCGCCA